This 465-nucleotide ribosomal RNA is filed under the name uncultured Klebsiella sp. Its description in RNAcentral is "bacterial SSU rRNA". It matches the Rfam family "Bacterial small subunit ribosomal RNA", at positions 338 to 795 of the family's 1533-position model. The record is from RNAcentral. Lineage: Bacteria; Pseudomonadati; Pseudomonadota; Gammaproteobacteria; Enterobacterales; Enterobacteriaceae.
CCUACGGGCGGCUGCAGUGGGGAAUAUUGCACAAUGGGCGCAAGCCUGAUGCAGCCAUGCCGCGUGUGUGAAGAAGGCCUUCGGGUUGUAAAGCACUUUCAGCGGGGCGGAAGGCGUUAAGGUUAAUAACCUUGGCGAUUGACGUUACCCGCAGAAGAAGCACCGGCUAACUCCGUGCCAGCAGCCGCGGCAAUACGGAGGGUGCAAGCGUUAAUCGGAAUUACUGGGCGUAAAGCGCACGCAGGCGGUCUGUCAAGUCGGGUGUGAAAUCCCCGGGCUCAACCUGGGAACUGCAUUCGAAACUGGCAGGCUAGAGUCUUGUAGAGGGGGGUAGAAUUCCAGGUGUAGCGGUGAAAUGCGUAGAGAUCUGGAGGAAUACCGGUGGCGAAGGCGGCCCCCUGGACAAAGACUGACGCUCAGGUGCGAAAGCGUGGGGAGCAAACAGGAUUAGAUACCCCAGUAGUC